RNAcentral lists this ribosomal RNA (368 nucleotides) under uncultured organism. Its description in RNAcentral is "bacterial SSU rRNA". It matches the Rfam family "Bacterial small subunit ribosomal RNA", at positions 526 to 896 of the family's 1533-position model. The record is from RNAcentral.
CGUAAGGGGCAAGCGUUGUCCGGAAUCACUGGGCGUAAAGCGCACGUAGGCGGUUUAGCAAGUUAGGGGUGCAAGCUCCAGGCUUAACCUGGAAACUGCCUCUAAAACUACUUCACUUGAGUAUUAGAGGGGAAGCUGGAAUUCACGGUGUAGCGGUGAAAUGCGUAGAUAUCGUGGAGAACACCCGUGGCGAAGGCGGGCUUCUGGCUAAUAACUGACGCUGAGGUGCGAAAGCUAGGGGAGCGAACGGGAUUAGAUACCCCGGUAGUCCUAGCCGUAAACGAUGAGAACUAGGUGUGGGGGGUAAAACCUCCGUGCCGACGCCAACGCAUUAAGUUCUCCGCCUGGGGACUACGGCCGCAAGGUUA